GCGCCCUGCUACAGACCAGCAGCACUUCAUGAAGAGGCCCGGACGACAGCAAGUUAAAAAGAAACAAACAAGCCGAACAGUAACUUUUAUGCCGGGAAAGGACUGCGGGCUCGGCUCGUCACAAGGAGCAAACCCGGAGCGGCGCGGACCUGGCGCCCUUACCUGCUGCACGCCCGCCGCCCUCGGCCAGCAGGGGCUCUGUGGUGGUAAUGGAUUCGUCGCUUCAGAAAAAAGUGGCAGGGCAGGAAUCCUUUGGUCUGUGGGUCCUCGAAGUUAAACUAAGGCUGCUUGAAACUAUGCUAGUUUUUCCGGGAGAGGCCAGAGA
Long non-coding RNA from Strigops habroptila (Kakapo), 325 nucleotides. RefSeq lists it as uncharacterized. The transcript has 3 exons. The record is from RefSeq and is a predicted model, not a curated record. NCBI's taxonomy places the organism in Eukaryota, Metazoa, Chordata, Aves, Psittaciformes, Psittacidae.